AUUGAACGCUGGCGGCAGGCCUAACACAUGCAAGUCGAGCGGAUGAAGGGAGCUUGCUCCUGGCUUCAGCGGCGGACGGGUGAGUAAUGCCUAGGAAUCUGCCUGGUCGUGGGGGCUAACGUCCGGAAACGGGCGCUAAUACCGCAUACGUCCUGAGGGAGAAAGUGGGGGAUCUUCGGACCUCACGCUAUCUGAUGAGCCUAGGUCGGAUUAGCUAGUUGGUGGGGUAAAGGCCUACCAAGGCGACGAUCCGUAACUGGUCUGAGAGGAUGAUCAGUCACACUGGAACUGAGACACGGUCCAGACUCCUACGGGAGGCAGCAGUGGGGAAUAUUGGACAAUGGGCGAAAGCCUGAUCCAGCCAUGCCGCGUGUGUGAAGAAGGUCUUCGGAUUGUAAAGCACUGUAAGUUGGGAGGAAGGGCAGUAAGUUAAUACCUUGCUGUUUUGACGUUACCAACAGAAUAAGCACCGGCUAACUUCGUG
Molecule: ribosomal RNA, 484 nt
Filed under: uncultured bacterium
Lineage: Bacteria
Description: partial 16S ribosomal RNA
Rfam family: Bacterial small subunit ribosomal RNA
Source: RNAcentral